UGCAGCUGCUCCAGAAUCACACUGAACUGAAGGGAGAGCCUAAAAUGGUGCCAUUUGGGUAUUUAGGUAAAUUAUGCCUGCAUAUUGAUAUAUAUCUCUUAACGUUUUAUUUUGAAAUUAAAAAAAAAAAAAAAAGUUCUCAAUAUGUCCAACAGGCCAGUCAUUAUCAGUUUUAAAUUACUAUGCAUAAUUUGAAGACUAUGUUGUUGUUUUCUUGAUCCUCCAGAUGCUUUAGAUCAUUACUUAGCUCCUCUUAUCUUUUACGGAAUAAAGGUGCUGUGCUCUAGUUUUUUAUUGACAGGUGGUCAUGAUAUCAAAAAUUCAAAAUCUGAAAUCUUAAACUUAGAAGCAAAAUUCUGAAGAGGCUUCAUUUCUUGCCCCUACUUUCACGCGAGCAAUAGGAGUGCUGUCAGCUUUAUUUUGUGAGAUAAGCCGUUGAGUAAUGAGACUGGCAAUUACCCCUUCAGUUGUCAGCUAAAUCCACCAAGCAUAAUUAAGGAAGAAAAUUUGCUUCCUGAUUAUUUUUCCACAUAAGCUUAAGUAUAAAUUAACAAAGAAACUCAGGUACAAACUAACAAAGAAACAGUAUUAGCAAUCUUUCUCUUAGUUUUCUCUAUGCAGGAGGUGGAAGCGUGCCGUUUAUGAAUGAGGAGAAUAGCACCAGGGCCCGAGCUGGCUGAUAACUUGGAACAAAAUGUCCGGCGCCUCUUACAGUCACAAAUGUCAGGUUUUGAUAUCCAACAGCAUAUCCUCCGACCUUAACAUGAAACAAAUCUACUUUAGUUUAAUGAUAAGAAUACCUUUUUCAAAUUAAAACGAAUGCUUAGUUUCGCGAAACCUUACCUCUCCCUGAGUGUACCAGGGGUACCAGGCCGUCCUAACCGGUGUCCCCAAUUUUUUAACGGCAUACCUAGUGCAUGUCACUGGCAAGGCACCAUCUGUGUCGCCACUGCAUAUUAUGGUAAACACUAAUUAAUUAAAGCUUGAAUACUGAAAUGACUUAAUUUUUCAUAGGAUGAACAUUUUCACUUACAUUGCCGUACCUGUAUACCCAUAUGCGGAUCCCUUCAGCCAUCAGCUCCUGAAUGAUUGGCAACACGGUUUGUGGUUUAUCUUUCCAAUUUCGAUUUAUUUCUCCACUGUUUUUAGAGGUAGCAUGAAAUCAAAAGACAAAUAUCUGAUUUAGAAAAUUAUGAGACUGCAAGAUACUAAUUGAAACUUAACUUAUAAUUGGUAUAUAGGGCAGUGCCUGCAGGAUUGCAAUGGAUAAGGAAGACCGGUGACAUUUGCAUGUAGAGCUUCCUGAACUCGAGGAAUGUUCAAGUAUGUUUCAAUAUAAUUUUCUGAGCAGGGAUCAAAUGUCGAAACCUGUUUGCUAUUUCCUGUUAGCAGAGGGAUCAACAUACUCAAAAAAAAAAAAAAAACUAUAGAUAUGCUGCAUUAGAUAAUUUAUCCGUG
RNAcentral lists this long non-coding RNA (1458 nucleotides) under Citrus sinensis (sweet orange). RNAcentral describes it as "long non-coding RNA (CSIN_LNC001522)". The record is from RNAcentral. Lineage: Eukaryota; Viridiplantae; Streptophyta; Magnoliopsida; Sapindales; Rutaceae.